GAUAUAGAAGUAAAAUAUUACAUUUAAUUUCGACUUAAAAUUUUAAAAUUUAUAAUUUUCAUAUAUUU
RNAcentral lists this transfer RNA (68 nucleotides) under Aleurodicus dispersus. RNAcentral describes it as "tRNA-Arg". The record is from RNAcentral. Lineage: Eukaryota; Metazoa; Arthropoda; Insecta; Hemiptera; Aleyrodidae.